This 469-nucleotide long non-coding RNA is filed under the name Chinchilla lanigera (long-tailed chinchilla). RNAcentral's name for it is "lncRNA (ENSCLAG00000022484.1)". The record is from RNAcentral. Lineage: Eukaryota; Metazoa; Chordata; Mammalia; Rodentia; Chinchillidae.
GCAUCCUUCCUGCUUACCUCAGUGGGGAGCCCCUUGUAUCACAGAGCAUCCUUCCUGCCUCAGACUCUCUUUCCACCCACCUCCCUGUACUACCUGGCCGCCCUUGCCUUUCUUCCUGGGGUUUCCCAGGUAUUUGACUUACCAGUGUGACCCAAGAGAGAGGCUUCAGGUGGGAGGGAUGGUGACAUGAAUGCUAUGAAGAGUCCAGUUCCCCAGUCGUGCCUGUCUAUGGAAUAUGAUCAUGAAAAGUGGGUGCGCUUUUCCCAAGCAAAGUUUUUCAAAGGCCAUGAUUGCAAACACAACUAGACUUGGAAGCUGCGGAUCUAUCCUGGCCAACACCAGUGGAAGGUGGACCUGAAAUACGAACCACACUUGGCGAUGUAAAAUUUCCCAGGAGCAACACUUCAUGAUGCAAAAAGAAGUAGAUGGAAUUGAUUUUAAUAAUAAUAAAGCUUGCAUUGUAUUUAAC